UACGUAGGGGGCGAGCGUUGUCCGGAAUGACUGGGCGUAAAGGGUGCGUAGGCGGCCUGACACGUCUGGGGUGAAAGGCCACGGCUCAACCGUGGGGGUGCCCUGGAAACGGUGAGGCUUGAGUGCUGGAGAGGCAAGGGGAAUUCCACGUGUAGCGGUGAAAUGCGUAGAGAUGUGGAGGAAUACCCGUGGCGAAGGCGCCUUGCUGGACAGUGACUGACGCUGAGGCACGAAAGCGUGGGGAGCGAACAGGAUUAGAUACCCUGGUAGUCCACGCUGUAAACGAUGAGUGCUAGGUGUUGGGGGUGCGAGCCCUCAGUGCCGAAGGAAACCCAAUAAGCACUCCGCCUGGGGAGUACGGUCGCAAGACUGAA
Molecule: ribosomal RNA, 374 nt
Filed under: uncultured bacterium
Lineage: Bacteria
Description: bacterial SSU rRNA
Rfam family: Bacterial small subunit ribosomal RNA
Source: RNAcentral